CUCCUGGUGCUGUGAAUGAGCUAUGAAUACACCGCAGAACUCACAUUUUUGCUUCGGUGUAAUGCAGGCAUGGGUACCAUAUCAUCUUGUGUGAAGGGAGGAAGAAUUAGGAAAUCCGACUCAAUUCGGGAAAAUCCUACAUUUGGCCAUUAGCAAUAAUAAUAAUUCCCAAAAGAAAACUCUACAAAGAUCUUCGUUUAUGUGUUUUUCUCUCUAGAGCCAUGGAGUCAUCAAAACCAAUGCAUAUGCAUGUUCCUGCCUUAACUAUACCGUGUAUUUGUAGUUUGAUGGUCUGUUUUUAAUAAUAUUUAGUAAUGGAACUAUCCCUUGUUGUUCAA
This is a non-coding RNA of Cucurbita pepo subsp. pepo (vegetable marrow), 338 nucleotides long. The record is from RefSeq and is a predicted model, not a curated record. Lineage: Eukaryota; Viridiplantae; Streptophyta; Magnoliopsida; Cucurbitales; Cucurbitaceae.